AGAUUAAUCAUCCGAUGUUUGAAGAACUGAUCUUCAAUCGUCUGCUCAUCGAGUUUAGGGUUUUGAUUUAAGUUUCCAUCUGUGUAAGUCAUCAUCAGUUGGGUUUCAUAAUCUGUUAAAUCAGAUUUUAGGGUUCCAUCUAAAUUAGGGUCUUGUUCUUGAUUUGGUUUCGAUUUGUAGGUGUUGGUGAAUGAUGUAUUUGGUUUAUUCAUGGGAAACAGAAGUUUGAUGCUGAGGAGUAUUCUUCGCUAGAGAGCUUGCUGAAGAUGGUUACUCUGAUGUUGAAGUUAGGGUUACUCCUAUCAUCCUAUGAGAAAUGAAAUCAUCAUCAGAUCUAACUCAAGGUGGAAGUUCUAGCUGCAGUAAUCACUUCAAUUGCAAGAAGUGCUGGAGCUAAUACAGUAUUCUACAUUUUUCCUAGUUGAAAGGCGUUUGUUCUCAAGCGCCUAUUGUUUCUUCAAAUGAAUUAGGGCUUUGAUUCAGACUAUGGCGGACAGAUUAUUUCUAUGUGGAAGCAAGAAAAGAGCUGUUAUUGUUACUUUAAAUAUUUCAGACCAAUGGCCAGAGGAUGCUGAAGAUAUCUAGAAGGAGGAGGCAGUGACGAAAUCCCUGCAAGGUCUUUCAAUCGAAUCAGCUUCAGACUUGCAAAAAGUCUUGAGAGUUAACACAUAUACCCCACAGUCGAGUGCUUGUCAGCAGCUAAAGGCAGUGCUUCCUGUUUUUCAAAGUUGUAUGGGGGAAUUGCUGCUCAUAAUUUCUUCUCUUCAUUCCCGAGGACUAGUAUGAAGGGGGACCUUGUGGUGUGUUAGCAACCAUACAGGUGGAUGUAACUUUUUUUCUCUUUUUUGAAUUCGCUCACGUACCAACUCACUUCCUCUAGGUGCUAAGGCGUAUUGUUAGAGCAGGUGCGGC
This is a long non-coding RNA of Papaver somniferum (opium poppy), 912 nucleotides long. RefSeq lists it as uncharacterized. NCBI's taxonomy places the organism in Eukaryota, Viridiplantae, Streptophyta, Magnoliopsida, Ranunculales, Papaveraceae. The record is from RefSeq and is a predicted model, not a curated record. The transcript is spliced from 7 exons.